UAGGCCAGGCACUACUCUGUCCCAACAAUAAGCCCUGUACAUUGGGAAAGGUGCCGAAGACAUGAACUUUGGUCUUCUCUGCAAUCCCUCUGGAGCAUUCAGUGACAACGUCGACUUUGAAGUUGCACUGACCUGGCCAGCCCUGCCACUUACCAGGUUGGGCUGUGGCUUGCCUUUUCACUUCUUGUGUCCUGUUUAAGAAAUAUCUGCUAUCCCAAGAUUGAGCCUCGUAUUUCAUAUCUGCCCCUGGCCUAAUGUUUGCUUACAGAAUGAGCUCAAUGAAUAUUGUUAAAUAACACUAACAAAGUUGACCUUAGAAUUGGAGUGCCCGGGUUAGAACCUUGCUGGUACCACCUGCUUACUGCAUGCUUCUGAUGUGAGUUCAGGAGAAGCCACUGGCAAGGACAGCAAAGAACAGGAGAACACUCUAGCUUCCCUGAUAGCAUUCAAGGUGCUGUCCAAAGCUCUUGAGUUUCUGCUUUCAAGUGACCCUCAGAAAUGCCCCCAUUCACUGCAGAGGUUCUGUUUCUCCUUGUUUUGUUCCGACUUUAUGGCAGAACUAGGUUAAUGAGUUAAUUACUAUGAGUUAUCACUUGGAUUUGAAGAACCAUCAUUUCUAGGCUUUGCUGCUCAGAGUGGGUUUGCCCUCAGGGGAAGCUAUCUAACCAGAGCCUAACCCACUAGGGUUUUAUCAGAACCUAACUGGCCUGAGGAAAAGAAAUAUUCAACUCCAGCAAGCUCCAGCCUUCCAAACGGAGGAGGAGAAAACCCAAAUCCAGCCCACUUCAGCUAUCUUGUCCCACAUAAAGGGGGAGUGGAAGAAACGUGAGAAGCAGGCAUGAAGUUCACAGUCCGGAGGUACAGACACAUCAGAGUUCAGUAUCUGAUGAAUUAGAUGCAAAAUCCUCAACAAAGUAUUAGCAAAUUGAAUUCAACAAUGUAUGAAAAUUAUUACAUGCCAUGACUAAUUGGAAUUUAUCUCAGGUAUACAAGCCAUGCUGAACAUCUGAAAAUCAAUUCAUGUGAUCCAUCACAUUAGCAGAUUCAA
RNAcentral lists this long non-coding RNA (1048 nucleotides) under Pongo abelii (Sumatran orangutan). Its description in RNAcentral is "lincRNA". Lineage: Eukaryota; Metazoa; Chordata; Mammalia; Primates; Hominidae. The record is from RNAcentral.